This 543-nucleotide ribosomal RNA is filed under the name uncultured bacterium. RNAcentral's name for it is "partial 16S ribosomal RNA". It matches the Rfam family "Bacterial small subunit ribosomal RNA", at positions 355 to 887 of the family's 1533-position model. The record is from RNAcentral.
UGGGGAAUAUUGGACAAUGGGGGCAACCCUGAUCCAGCCAUGCCGCGUGUGUGAAGAAGGCCUUUUGGUUGUAAAGCACUUUAAGCAGGGAGGAGAGGCUAAUGGUUAAUACCCAUUAGAUUAGACGUUACCUGCAGAAUAAGCACCGGCUAACUCUGUGCCAGCAGCCGCGGUAAUACAGAGGGUGCGAGCGUUAAUCGGAAUUACUGGGCGUAAAGCGAGUGUAGGUGGCUCAUUAAGUCACAUGUGAAAUCCCCGGGCUUAACCUGGGAACUGCAUGUGAUACUGGUGGUGCUAGAAUAUGUGAGAGGGAAGUAGAAUUCCAGGUGUAGCGGUGAAAUGCGUAGAGAUCUGGAGGAAUACCGAUGGCGAAGGCAGCUUCCUGGCAUAAUAUUGACACUGAGAUUCGAAAGCGUGGGUAGCAAAACAGGAUUAGAUACCCUGGUAGUCCACGCCGUAAAACGAUGUCUACUAGCCGUUGGGGUCCUUGAGACUUUAGUGGCGCAGUUAACGCGAUAAGUAGACCGCCUGGGGAGUACGGCC